This 490-nucleotide ribosomal RNA is filed under the name uncultured bacterium. RNAcentral's name for it is "partial 16S ribosomal RNA". It matches the Rfam family "Bacterial small subunit ribosomal RNA", at positions 30 to 507 of the family's 1533-position model. The record is from RNAcentral.
AUUGAACGCUGGCGGCAGGCCUAACACAUGCAAGUCGAACGGUAACAGGAAGCAGCUUGCUGCUUUGCUGACGAGUGGCGGACGGGUGAGUAAUGUCUGGGAAACUGCCUGAUGGAGGGGGAUAACUACUGGAAACGGUAGCUAAUACCGCAUAACGUCGCAAGACCAAAGAGGGGGACCUUAGGGCCUCUUGCCAUCGGAUGUGCCCAGAUGGGAUUAGCUAGUAGGUGGGGUAACGGCUCACCUAGGCGACGAUCCCUAGCUGGUCUGAGAGGAUGACCAGCCACACUGGAACUGAGACACGGUCCAGACUCCUACGGGUGGCAGCAGUGGGGAAUAUUGCACAAUGGGCGCAAGCCUGAUGCAGCCAUGCCGCGUGUAUGAAGAAGGCCUUCGGGUUGUAAAGUACUUUCAGCGGGGAGGAAGGGAGUAAAGUUAAUACCUUAGCUCAUUGACGUUACCCGCAGAAGAAGCACCGGCUAACUCCGUG